UUUAAAGUGUAAUGUAAGUCGCUUUGGAUAAAAGCGUCUGCUAAAUGACAUGAU
Gasterosteus aculeatus (three-spined stickleback) is the source of this 54-nucleotide regulatory RNA element. It matches the Rfam family "UnaL2 LINE 3' element". From Rfam's summary of the family: The eel long interspersed element (LINE) UnaL2 and its partner short interspersed element (SINE) share a conserved 3' tail containing a stem-loop that is critical for their retrotransposition. Presumably, the first step of retrotransposition is the recognition of their 3' tails by UnaL2-encoded reverse transcriptase. The record is from Rfam. NCBI's taxonomy places the organism in Eukaryota, Metazoa, Chordata, Actinopteri, Perciformes, Gasterosteidae.